Molecule: long non-coding RNA, 958 nt
Organism: Xyrauchen texanus (razorback sucker)
Lineage: Eukaryota; Metazoa; Chordata; Actinopteri; Cypriniformes; Catostomidae
Exons: 4
Source: RefSeq, a predicted model, not a curated record
UCCCUGUCUAGUGUUCGGCAGUAAAGGUGUGGCCAACCAGCAGGGAUUAACAUAUAUGGUGCCUAUGAUCAGAAGGAGUUACAGAAUUUUGUAAAAGCUGGAUAUUUCUGCACUCCAUCAAUGUUUUUAUUUCAAACUCAAGAAAGCAAGAAAAGAGAAAGAGUGAAAGAUGGUGUGCAAAGAGGGUCAAUCACACAACCCCAGAUCACAGGAGAGCAACAAACAUAAAAUGACAAAACAAAACAGCAUUGAAAAAACACUAAAUUUCUUUCAUGAUCAUGGUGGACCAGUAAAAUCUUAUUCUGACAUAUUUGAGGUGGUCCCAGAUGAGAAAACUCCAGCACAUUAAAGAAUGAGAAUGACGUCAUGACUUCACCCAGUGGAUGAAUGUGGAACUGCUUGUAAAGUUUAUGAACACGCUGGUGCUGAUGAACUCCCAGUAGAGGAUGAUGGUGCCCAUUGACUGCUGUUGAUGAAGCUGUGAAGACAUUUAUUUGCUUGAAUUAUUUUGAAUGUAUUUAGUGUACUUUACAGUCACUUGUUUCCCAGCAAGGUGUGAUGCACUCAUGUGCUGACUGCAUUUCUGUUGUUGUUUCGAUUACUAGUCGAUCUUUAUGGGUUUUUCAAUGGCUGAAUUUUCAAAUGUGAAUCACAGAUGAAGCUCUAGAGAUGUUAUAAAUGUCAAAGGUGUUAUAAAAUGAUGAAGGUGCAUUGAAGCCGUGCAGCUCUGAUAUUGCCUUUAUUGUCAAAGGCACUUUUUAAAGUCUGAAAAUUUUACUAAAUGUAUUUUAACAGUAAAAUCUGCUUAUACGUUAGACAUCUCUUCUUGCACUUACAUACGUUUAAAAAUAGUAUUUGUGUUUUUUCAACACCACUAUUGUCUUAAGCUUGCUCAAUGUUUGUAUUGCACUAUUUUCAAUAAAGGUACUUUUGAACUAUAUUUUUAAAGCUCUGCUCU